Molecule: ribosomal RNA, 252 nt
Filed under: uncultured bacterium
Lineage: Bacteria
Description: partial 16S ribosomal RNA
Rfam family: Bacterial small subunit ribosomal RNA
Source: RNAcentral
UACAGAGGGUGCAAGCGUUAAUCGGAAUUACUGGGCGUAAAGCGCGCGUAGGCGGCUAAUUAAGUCAGGUGUGAAAGCCCCGGGCUCAACCUGGGAAUUGCAUCCGAUACUGAUUGGCUAGAGUAUGAGAGAGGGAGGUAGAAUUCCACGUGUAGCGGUGAAAUGCGUAGAUAUGUGGAGGAAUACCGGUGGCGAAGGCGGCCUCCUGGCUUAAUACUGACGUGAGGUGCGAAAGCGUGGGGAUCAAACAGG